Molecule: ribosomal RNA, 736 nt
Filed under: Lactiplantibacillus plantarum
Lineage: Bacteria; Bacillati; Bacillota; Bacilli; Lactobacillales; Lactobacillaceae
Description: bacterial SSU rRNA
Rfam family: Bacterial small subunit ribosomal RNA
Source: RNAcentral
UGGUGCUUGCAUCAUGAUUUACAUUUGAGUGAGUGGCGAACUGGUGAGUAACACGUGGGAAACCUGCCCAGAAGCGGGGGAUAACACCUGGAAACAGAUGCUAAUACCGCAUAACAACUUGGACCGCAUGGUCCGAGUUUGAAAGAUGGCUUCGGCUAUCACUUUUGGAUGGUCCCGCGGCGUAUUAGCUAGAUGGUGRGGUAACGGCUCACCAUGGCAAUGAUACGUAGCCGACCUGAGAGGGUAAUCGGCCACAUUGGGACUGAGACACGGCCCAAACUCCUACGGGAGGCAGCAGUAGGGAAUCUUCCACAAUGGACGAAAGUCUGAUGGAGCAACGCCGCGUGAGUGAAGAAGGGUUUCGGCUCGUAAAACUCUGUUGUUAAAGAAGAACAUAUCUGAGAGUAACUGUUCAGGUAUUGACGGUAUUUAACCAGAAAGCCACGGCUAACUACGUGCCAGCAGCCGCGGUAAUACGUAGGUGGCAAGCGUUGUCCGGAUUUAUUGGGCGUAAAGCGAGCGCAGGCGGUUUUUUAAGUCUGAUGUGAAAGCCUUCGGCUCAACCGAAGAAGUGCAUCGGAAACUGGGAAACUUGAGUGCAGAAGAGGACAGUGGAACUCCAUGUGUAGCGGUGAAAUGCGUAGAUAUAUGGAAGAACACCAGUGGCGAAGGCGGCUGUCUGGUCUGUAACUGACGCUGAGGCUCGAAAGUAUGGGUAGCAAACAGGAUUAGAUAC